GUUUGAUUCUGGCUCAGGAUGAACGCCGGCGGUGUGCCUAAUACAUGCAAGUCGUACGCACUGGCCCAACUGAUUGAUGGUGCUUGCACCUGAUUGAAGAUGGAUCACCAGUGAGUGGCGGACGGGUGAGUAACACGUAGGUAACCUGCCCCGGAGCGGGGGAUAACAUUUGGAAACAGAUGCUAAUACCGCAUAACAACAAAAGCCACAUGGCUUUUGUUUGAAAGAUGGCUUUGGCUAUCACUCUGGGAUGGACCUGCGGUGCAUUAGCUAGUUGGUAAGGUAACGGCUCACCAAGGCGAUGAUGCAUAGCCGAGUUGAGAGACUGAUCGGCCACAAUGGAACUGAGACACGGUCCAUACUCCUACGGGAGGCAGCAGUAGGGAAUCUUCCACAAUGGGCGCAAGCCUGAUGGAGCAACACCGCGUGAGUGAAGAAGGGUUUCGGCUCGUAAAGCUCUGUUGUUGGAGAAGAACGUGCGUGAGAGUAACUGUUCACGCAGUGGCGGUAUCCAACCAGAAAGUCACGGCUAACUACGUGCCAGCAGCCGCGGUAAUACGUAGGUGGCAAGCGUUAUCCGGAUUUAUUGGGCGUAAAGCGAGCGCAGGCGGUUGCUUAGGUCUGAUGUGAAAGCCUUCGGCUUAACCGAAGAAGUGCAUCGGAAACCGGGCGACUUGAGUGCAGAAGAGGACAGUGGAACUCCAUGUGUAGCGGUGGAAUGCGUAGAUAUAUGGAAGAACACCAGUGGCGAAGGCGGCUGUCUGGUCUGCAACUGACGCUGAGGCUCGAAAGCAUGGGUAGCGAACAGGAUUAGAUACCCUGGUAGUCCAUGCCGUAAACGAUGAGUGCUAGGUGUUGGAGGGUUUCCGCCCUUCAGUGCCGGAGCUAACGCAUUAAGCACUCCGCCUGGGGAGUACGACCGCAAGGUUGAAACUCAAAGGAAUUGACGGGGGCCCGCACAAGCGGUGGAGCAUGUGGUUUAAUUCGAAGCUACGCGAAGAACCUUACCAGGUCUUGACAUCUUGCGCUAACCUUAGAGAUAAGGCAUUCCCUUCGGGGACGCAAUGACAGGUGGUGCAUGGUCGUCGUCAGCUCGUGUCGUGAGAUGUUGGGUUAAGUCCCGCAACGAGCGCAACCCUUGUUACUAGUUGCCAGCAUUAAGUUGGGCACUCUAGUGAGACUGCCGGUGACAAACCGGAGGAAGGUGGGGACGACGUCAGAUCAUCAUGCCCCUUAUGACCUGGGCUACACACGUGCUACAAUGGACGGUACAACGAGUCGCAAGCUCGCGAGAGUAAGCUAAUCUCUUAAAGCCGUUCUCAGUUCGGACUGUAGGCUGCAACUCGCCUACACGAAGUCGGAAUCGCUAGUAAUCGCGGAUCAGCAUGCCGCGGUGAAUACGUUCCCGGGCCUUGUACACACCGCCCGUCACACCAUGGGAGUUUGUAACGCCCAAAGUCGGUGGCCUAACCUUUAUGGAGGGAGCCGCCUAAGGCGGGACAGAUGACUGGGGUGAAGUCGUAACAAGGUAUCC
Molecule: ribosomal RNA, 1534 nt
Filed under: uncultured bacterium
Lineage: Bacteria
Description: 16S ribosomal RNA
Rfam family: Bacterial small subunit ribosomal RNA
Source: RNAcentral